ACCACUAUAUAGUAUUCAAAGUUUCAAAUCUCUCUCCUCCCCCCUACCCCCUCUUUGUCUUAGCUCUGCUCCCUAACAUUUCACCCAGUUUAUUCAUAGCUCCUUGGUAUCCUUUCCUCCUUUUAUAUAUUUGGCAAGGUAAGAGAAAGGAAGGGGCUCUCUCUCUCUCUCUCGCUGUGUGUGUCUGUUUCUGUAUAUAGAGUUUUGUUAAGGAUUAGAUAGGAGGCAGGCGGCACAUCUUCUUAAUGUGUCUCAUCAUAUUAAUGGAGUUUAUUGUUACAACACCUCCUUCCUCCCUUUAUCGCUCUCCGUGGGUGCAUAGCCCAAAGAAAAGAGUAGUGCUAUGGCUACUCUUUCCAUGGAAGAUUACGUGGAGGUUUUCAUCUCCACCCCUCCCAUCUCUGUGUUUGUGUUUGUUGUGGUGUAAGAGAGUUUGCUGAACCUAGGAGAUCCAUCAAUCACUUUUUCGUUUUCUUUGCAUGGCUCUUCGAUCUCUCAGUUAUAGGAAACUCUCGUUUCACUUUUUCCACUAAAACGAGGAACGGAGAAUACCAGGAAAUGGCGUCUUCUCAGGAGGCAAUGAGCAAACUGAGGGUGGGGAGGACGACCGAGUAUCGAAUGGGCACGGACACGAGGCUGCUGACCAUCGACCAUGGCCCGACGGAGCUUUUCGUGCUUUGCACCGAACGUUUUGAAGCUGCCCCGGCCUUCCGUUCUGGGGACUUCUCCAUGCACAUGAUUAGGGUUAAGGGGAACCCCAUGGCCAUGGUCAUCUGCAUGGUGGGGGAUCAUCAAUGGAUGCUAGCAAAGGACUCCCUUGUGCUCCAUGUCGAGGCUCGGAUGUUUGUGUUCGUCUUGCCGGGCUUCCUUUAUGGGCUUACAUUGCCGACCACUGCUUCUGACCAUGAAUCCAGGAUUGUGGAAGAGAUUUUCAAGAGGUUCUGCGCAUACCGAGACCUCUCGGCAAACGAAGAUUGCGAAUCGGGUGGCGACUCGAACUCCGAGACAGAUCCGUGGGCCCGGGCCUACUCGAAGAUGGAAAAGCUCACCUCCCGGAAGACCGUCAUCGCCGCCGCCAACUCGGCCAAAACCCCACCGGAAACCACCGCCGGCGUUAGCUCCGCGGACCCCAACACGAGGAGGAAGCUCCAGCGGGCGGUGAGGACGUCAGCCGUCGUGAAGCUCCUCUCCCGGGCCCUCCUCGCCGGUGCGCUGGACCCCACCAAGCAUCUCCACCUGGUCGCCGCCACCGCGGCCGGCGGCGCCGCCCUUCCGACGAUGUGGGCCCUGGCGGACCUCCUGGACGCCGUCGAGGCGGGUAAGCAGAGGAUCGAGGCCCUGCCGCUCGGCCAGCGGGGCCCGCAGGGGAGCAGCGGGUGGUGGACGUUGAACCGGGAGGGGGCCAGGCGGCUGCUGGAGGUCGUAUGGGCGUGUGGUGCCACCAGGGGGGUGAAGAGGACACGUGUCGAAGCUGUAGAGGAGGAGGAGGAGGAGGACAGCAACGGGGGGAGCAACGGUAUAACGGGUAGUAACGGUCGGUGCCGUGGCGGGAAAGCAAAAGAGGGAGGCAGUAAGAUGGUUGCGUGAAUUGAGAGUAUGAUAAUUUCAAAGAUGCAUCUCUACCAUUGGAAGUUUUAUGUUUGGGUGGCUCAGAUUACAGUUGGAUUUCCACGAUGCAGGACCUCUAGUCAAAAUGGAGGAGAAAGAACAAAUAGCGGCUGGUUCAUACUGCUGGUGUCCAAACGUAUUACAGCUGCAUUGGCUACAAUGUCGCGAGAGCGGAACUCCAUAUUUCUUAACAGAUCAUUCUCUAUCCACUCCACUCUCAAGAUCCUAAUGAACUAUCGCAGCCGGAAAUGUGUCCCUCCCAACAAGGCUGAUGAGCAUGAGCUUGUGUGGAGCAAGUUGGCAGUCCGUCGCACCUUCUAUGUAAUGUCCUGUUUGUAAUGCUCCCCUUCUCCCAGUCUUCUUGUAAAUUCUGUUCCACUCUGCUGUAAGUGGGCUGGUCUUUACGGUCUCCAUUUCUAUCCAAAAAAAAAAAAGAACAGAAGAAUGCCGUUAAC
Molecule: non-coding RNA, 2063 nt
Organism: Elaeis guineensis (African oil palm)
Lineage: Eukaryota; Viridiplantae; Streptophyta; Magnoliopsida; Arecales; Arecaceae
Source: RefSeq, a predicted model, not a curated record